This 497-nucleotide ribosomal RNA is filed under the name uncultured bacterium. RNAcentral's name for it is "partial 16S ribosomal RNA". It matches the Rfam family "Bacterial small subunit ribosomal RNA", at positions 28 to 507 of the family's 1533-position model. The record is from RNAcentral.
GAUGAACGCUGGCGGCGUGCCUAAUACAUGCAAGUCGAGCGGACAGACGAGGAGCUUUCUCCUCUGACGUUAGCGGCGGACGGGUGAGUAACAAGUGGAUAACCAUCCUAUAAGUCUUGGAGAACUUCGGGAAAACGGAGCUAAUACCGGAGAAUAUAUUGAACCGCAUGGUUCAAUAGUGAAAGAAGGGUUUGCUGUCACUUUUAGAUUGAUCCGCGCCGCAUUAGCUAGUUGGUUAGGUAACGGCUUACCAAGGCAACGAGGCGUAGCCGACCUGAGAGGGUGAUCGGCCACACUGGAACUGAGACACGGUCCAGACUCCUACGGGAGGCAGCAGUAGGGAAUCUUCCGCAAUGGGCGAAAGCCUGACGGAGCAACGCCGCGUGAGUGAUGAAGGUCUUCGGAUCGUAAAACUCUGUUAUUAGGGAAGAACAAAUGUGUAAGUAACUAUGCACGUCUUGACGGUACCUAAUCAGAAAGCCACGGCUAACUACGUG